CCUACGGGGGGCAGCAGUGAGGAAUAUUGGUCAAUGGGCGAGAGCCUGAACCAGCCAAGCCGCGUGAGGGAGUACUGCCUUAUGGGUUGUAAACCUCUUUUGUCGGGGAGCAAAAGCUGGACGUGUCCGGCUGUGAGAGUACCCGAAGAAAAAGCAUCGGCUAACUCCGUGCCAGCAGCCGCGGUAAUCCGGAGUAUGCCAGCGUUAUCCGGAUUUUUUGGGUUUUAAGGGUGCGCAGGCGGAUUGUUUAGUCAGCGGUUAAAUCGUGGGGCUCAACGCCAUCCAGCCUGUGAAACUGGGGAUCUAGAGUGUGCGAGAGGUAUGCGGAAUGCGGGGUGUAGCGGUGAAAUGCAUAGAGAUCACGCAGAACCCCGAUUGCGAAGGCAGCAUACCGGUGCACCACUGACGCUCAGGCACGAAAGCGUGGGUAUCGAACAGGAUUAGAUACCCGUGUAGUC
This 458-nucleotide ribosomal RNA is filed under the name uncultured bacterium. RNAcentral's name for it is "partial 16S ribosomal RNA". It matches the Rfam family "Bacterial small subunit ribosomal RNA", at positions 338 to 795 of the family's 1533-position model. The record is from RNAcentral.